RNAcentral lists this ribosomal RNA (253 nucleotides) under uncultured bacterium. Its description in RNAcentral is "partial 16S ribosomal RNA". It matches the Rfam family "Bacterial small subunit ribosomal RNA", at positions 524 to 776 of the family's 1533-position model. The record is from RNAcentral.
UACAGGGGGUGCAAACGUUGCUCGGAAUUAUUGGGCGUAAAGCGCGCGUAGGCGGCUUUGUAAGUCGGAUGUGAAAGCCCUCGGCUUAACCGAGGAAGUGCAUCCGAAACUGCAAGGCUUGAGUACCAAAGAGGAUCGCGGAAUUCCCGGUGUAGAGGUGAAAUUCGUAGAGAUCGGCAGGAACACCAAGGACGAAGGUAACCACCUGGGCAUCAGCUGACACUCAUGUGCGACAGCGUGGGGAGCGAACCGG